UCACUUAAAACUAUUAUUCCUCUUCAAAUUAGAAAAAUCUUUUGCCUUUUACUAAAGAUUUCCAAGAAUGGUUUUCAAGUUUUUAAAUUAUUUUUUAAUGGUUGGCUUUGGUCAGAUU
Small nuclear RNA from Hemiscyllium ocellatum (epaulette shark), 118 nucleotides. RefSeq annotates it as U5 spliceosomal RNA. The transcript has a single exon. NCBI's taxonomy places the organism in Eukaryota, Metazoa, Chordata, Chondrichthyes, Orectolobiformes, Hemiscylliidae. The record is from RefSeq and is a predicted model, not a curated record.